This is a long non-coding RNA of Marmota monax (woodchuck), 7142 nucleotides long. RefSeq lists it as uncharacterized. Lineage: Eukaryota; Metazoa; Chordata; Mammalia; Rodentia; Sciuridae. The record is from RefSeq and is a predicted model, not a curated record. The transcript is spliced from 2 exons.
CUUAUAAUGGUAAAUUAUAUGUUUUAUAUUGUUAAAAGAAAAAAUUGUUACCAAUAAGUUUAACAGAAUUUACUUAAGCAAGAAAAAGAGUUCUAGAACCAGUCACCACUUCUGACUGAAAUUGGUUCAGAAUUCCCCACCCUACAAUAUAUCCAGAUCAUUUUUAUAUUCAGAGAAAAGGAAAUCACAUACUUUCCUAAGAAACAACCUGAUUGGCUGCAAUCAGCAUUUACUAGCUAUAGUCAGUGGUGUGGUGAGGCAUUUGCAGCUGAAUGAGCCCAACUUAUAUUAACCUCAUUCCUGACCCCAGAGCUCUCCUCCAACAGGCUGAGCAAAUCCAUAAAUUAUUAAAGUCUACCCUAGAAAGUUAGGUGUUUUUCUCAAAUACUGACCUUUCCACUCUGGCCCAAGUCAUGAAACCAUAUUAGAUAUUGCAUAGUCUCCAUUGUGGCCUGGCCUUAUAAGAAAGUCUAUUUUUUAUAAAUAAAUUCUGGCCAGUCAUUUGAUGCUGAUCUGAAUAUCUUCCAGGGCCAUGGUGGUACCAUUGAUCAGAUCAACUAAAGUCAGGGACAAAAGUUGCAUUGCCUUUUUAAUCAGAUGAGUUACAUAAUAGGAAUAAUUGUUCCCAUUGUGUAUAUUAACAGCAAGUCAGUUAUCAGUUCAAAAAGGUUCUGUGAGUAACCAGGGAUAGCCUCAUUUUAGAAAUAUCUCCAUUAUUAUCUGUGGGUUGCACGAUCUGUGCUCCAUGAUGUUUACUAAAACACAAAAUUCUCUUAUGAUCAUCAUGAAAAUACAGUACACCCUUUUGGAGAGGUUGAUCCAACUAGUUUUCACAUAAGAAAUAUAGUCAUAAGGGCACAUAUGGCACUCUGAGAAAGUGUUGUUUACAAGGGUCAGUGUCCCCCAAGGUCCUGGCCAGUUGGUAGACCUUUGGGUUUCCAGUUUACUUUGAAUAAUUAAGUCUAAUCCUCAUGUGUUAUUUUCUUUCAAUGAAAAAAAUACCUGAUAUAAUCGAUUUAUAAAGAGGAAAGUUUUAUUUAUUUUGGCUCAUAAGUCCAUGGUUACUUGUGCCUCAUUGCCUUUAGGCCUGUGGCAAGUACACCAUGGUGGGGAGCACACUGCAGAGGAAAUUCUUGCCUGUGACAGCCAGGAAGCAAAGAUGAGAAAAGUCCAUACCCAACAUAGGAAUGAAGUAAGCCAGACUUUGGGGCUGUAUCUGAGAGUGGAAAACCAAAGAAAACCAGAAGACAUCAUCAGGCUUCAGCUUAGCUAAACCAUCUGUGAACUUGGGAAACCUCUGUAAUUUACAAGGUCCCCUGGGCCAAUGACUUUGCUCUGCUUAAUUGUGGGUAUGUUUCCCCCAAAGGGUUUACUGCCAGUUUUUUUCAUAUAAGUCUGAGAUGACACCAUGGCCAGGCUAGCUGUGUUCAUGAAUAGACCCAUUUCCAUUUUAUAAGCAAAGCUUUCAGAGCCCAGUUGUCCUAUUUAUUUAUGUGGUACUGGGCCUCACACAUGCCAGACAAGCAUUUACCACUGAGUCAUAUCCCUUGCCCCAAAUUGUCCCAUUUUAACAAGAGCCCAGAUAGUAAGGCUUUCAAAAGGGAUGUACUUGGUCACUGUCAGUAAUGCAUUAACCCCCAAAUCCCCAGAGAUUCUUAUGGAUGCAGUCUGCUUCCCUCUGCCAGGGGUUUCAUUUAGCAAAAUUAUCAGUCACUGAGGCUUAAUAGCUUUUUUAGAAGGGUCAUUAGAGUUGUGGGGCCCCAAAGUAGCAAAUGGGCUGCAGCUAACCAGACAACUUCCAAUGCAGCCUGUUGGUCUGGGGCCUGCUUAAAGGAUGCUGAUUUGUAGAUUAGCUGAUAUAAAGAACCAAGUAGUAUGUCCAUCUGAGGUAUGUGCUAGUCCAAAUACCCAAAGAAUUCAAGAAGGUGCUGGGCCUCCUUUUUUUGGCUGUGGUAGAAUAGAAGAGACAGAAGAUUUUUCCUUGACUGCUGGAAGGAUUAGAUAUUGUGAAUCUGCCCACCCAGUCCCAAGAAAUUGAAUUUUGUCAGGAAUUAUCAGCCAUCUCUGUGGAGAGGUGUCAAUGCUAUAGUCAGGACCACUAAGACUGAGCCUUGACUUGCCACUCAAUCGGACAUCCUCUAGGUUGUGAAAGUUUUGGACAUCAAGAAAGUAAAGGGACUCACCUAAAUCCUGACUUGCCCACUACAGGCAAAUUGCAGGGGAGUUUAUUUCACACUUCUUUGUGUACAGAUCUUCUAUUUGGGAGACUCCUCCACUCAAGGGACAAAAGAAUAACAUCAAUUCUUACCAUACUUUCAAAAGUAGAUGCAACCCAAUACAUGGAAUUGGACCAGAGGGCCUAGGUACUUAGUCUUUUCUUUCUCCACCCUACUAUGGAACUUGCCCAGCCUCCAUUUGGAAACCUUUUUAUCCCUUAACACCAGGUAAGGAUGGUGACUUCGGCACCCAUAAUCAACAGAGCAGUUAAAAGUUUGAGUCCCUCCUGUCCCCAAAGUUCCCCAACAUUUUCAGACAGGUACAUAUGGUCUUUGGUCCACCUUGAAGACGGGAGUACGUCAGCCCCGUCACUAAUAUUUCUCCUGAAAGUAGCUGAGGUUGGGACAGAGAGGGAAUAAAGGAUCAGAAUUAGGGAAGGAGAAAGUAACUAAGGGCCAUUAAAGAUGGGAAUGCUUACUUUCAUUUUGAAGGGUAUAGCAGCAAUUCAUGCCUCAACUGAAUGAACUCCGAAGUUUUUUGCUUACCCAGCCCUAUAUCAAGUGGCAAGGUCAUCACUACCAACACUGUUUCGGCCUUGACUCCACAGCUCCUUGCUUUCUGUCUGGGGCCACAGUGUAUUUUUUCUUUGGCUUACUCUAGACAUGAGCCAUGAUACUUCUUUUAAAUCCAACUUAAUCCAAGCCAUUUGUUGCCCAGUUAUCAUAAUAACGCUUGUUUCUGCCCUUUUGUUUUAUUUUUCUUUGAAACAGGAUCUUGUGGAGGCUGGCCCAAACUUGAGAUUCUCCUGCCUCAGUCUCCUGAGGAGCUGGGAUUACAGGUGCAUGCUACUGUGCCCAGCUUAGCUUUAACAGGAGGACUAGAAACUUUCCUGGGUGAUGAAGUUGACUACAAGAUUCUAUCUAGAAUUAUUUUGGUUCACUUCUCAUUCUCUAAUGAGCUGCCUUUAUGAGCAUUGCAAACCCAAUCCAAGGUGGUAAGAGCCCAAAUACCAGUCAAUGCUACAUCUGUGGUCUUUUAUAGGAGUUAUUCUUAGGGGAAUCUCCCUGAGAGGGCUCAAGAUCAUUUUUAGCUUUUAGGACCCACUGUAAAAAUAAAAACUCUGGGAUCUUUUACCAUUGUCUCCUAAUGGAUUUAAGGUUGUCAUAAGAGGCUUGAGGUAUAGCUUAGUGGUAGAGCAUAUAUUUAGUGUGAUCGAGGGCCUAGAUUUAAUCCCUUAAAAAAAAAUGUUGGCAUAAUAGAUUGCAGGAAGGACCAAGCCAAAAGACAGCCCAGCUAAGACAUUCCUCCUUCACAAGCAUUACAUGCCUCACCUCCUGGGUAAAUCAGUAAAUUAAAUCAGCCAACAUUCCAAUUUGCCUGCUUUCUUUCCAUUGUGGUUAUGAAUUCCUCAUAUUCAUGCUCAGUGUAAGUGUAUAUCUCAGUAACUGUUGUCUCAAAGGGGUUGGAAAUAUCUGCACCCAAGGCAAAUUUUAGUACUGGUUGUUAACAAUAUGAAGACAUAAGGUGCCCACCAGAUUGCUGCCAGAUACACCAUGCCCAAAGAGAAUUAGCGACAACCAGGGCACCAUCCAGGCAGCUGUCUUUGAACCCUCUUCCAGGGACUGGGCCUACAACCCCACCUCAUAAUUUUUUCAUUAACAGACAAUAAAAUAAGGGACCAUUUAUUGCCCAAGUAUCAUACAAGUUGGUCAACAAGUUUGUAAUUGAUUCCCAUGGACUUCCUCUUCAUCAGGCUGCAAGGCUCUCACUGUUCUCCCCCAAAGCCAUGUUUCAGUCAGUAUCCCAUCUUUGUUGCCAAUACUGUCAAGAAUCAUCAAAGGGGCUGGGGAUAAGCUCAAGUGGUAGAGUGCUUACCUUGCAUGCACAAGGUCCUGGGUUCAAUCCCUAGUACCACACACACAAAUCAUCAUCAGAGGUGUUUUUUUUGCAAAUUUGCCUGCAAUAGUUUCAUGGAUGCUGGUAGAUACAACACUCCUGGGUCAAAGACAAAGGACAGUUUAUUAUGACAAUAAAAGUAUUCCAGUGAUUCCAGAUGUUGAGGCAGGAGGACUGCAAGUUUGACACUAAUCUCGGCAACUUAAUGAGGCCCUAUAUAAAACUAAAACAUAAAAGGAAUCUGGGGAUGUGGAACAAUGGUUAAGUGCCCCUGAGCUCAAUCCCUGGUACCAAAAGAAAAAGGAAAAAAAAAAAAAAGGUAGCCCGAGGACCAGCAUUUUCUUGCAUUGAUUCAAGUCCUAUUUAUAAUACUUCCUACAAUGUAACUGCUAUGUAAAUAGUUGCUAUAUUAUAUUGUUAAGGGAAUAAUGACAAGAAAAGUCUAUUUGCUUAGGAUAGACAAAUUUUUAAAAAUAUUUUCUAUCCACUGUUCAUUGAAUCUGUGGAUGCAGAACCCACGGAUAUGGAAGGCUGACUGUAUUAACCAAGUUAUCCUGUUUUAAAAGCCAUCAUCAGUUUACUCUUCCACCAUUCUUUGUAGGAGUGAAUGUCUGCUGGAUUCUACAUGACAAAGAAAGCUCAAAUGUAUCCUCCCCUUUAAUGAUGAUCUCUGAAAAAUACAGGAAAGCUGAGAAAUAGGUUUUGUUAAAGAUCUAGUGCACACUAUCCAUUCACUUACACUUAUCAAGCAAUUAUUAGGUGUCAGAUACUAGGGCUCCAGCAAUGGAGGAGUCAUGUAGACAUCACAACCUGGUAGAGGAAGGGCAGAAAGGUGGGAGUGUUGUUUUAGAAAGUGAGAGAGCUCUGAGGGAAGUGGUGGUGAUGGGGGCACAAUAGGUGCACAAUAGGUGCAAAGGCCCUGAGGCAUGAAAGGACUUUGGCAGGUGAAAGGUACGAAGAGGCGGCCUUGUAUUGCGAAGAUAAAGUAAGAUGUAGACCUCAAGCCCUGGUAAACUAAGAGGCUUUAAACAGCUUGGGAAGGCUACUUCACCAGAUCUCCCAGGGCUGUAAAAGGCAAAAGAUUUCUUGGGGUAGAGCCUGGAAUAGUAGUAUAUAGGCAGCCAAGGAGAUGCAGAGGAAGUCAAGAGGCAGACAGGAGGGGAGGAGUAACCGCCCACCGGGAAGGGCCUUUGGUCUGGAACCGUGGGAGUUUCAACUUGCAUUUCCGGGCGUUGAGGUUUUUCCAUGAACACUCAAUUCCAUGCUGGUCCCAUCACUUGGCCCCUGGGGACCAGCAGCUCAGCAGGAUGACAUCUCAGUAUUUCCCUAGUUUCCUCAAUUCUGUUCUGAAGCUGGAGGGUAGGGACAAGUCCAUGAUAUGUGUCCUUGGAUCCCAAGGCUGAGGCAGGUUGGAUAGAAACAUCACAAGAAACUCUGAGUCAGAGGCAUCACCAGGAAGACAGCUGAAGGUUCUACCUCCUUCCAACCAUCAAUCCAAGUGCCAUUCUUUCUACCUGGGAGAAGUCCCCAAGAGCCAAUAGCCCAGCCAGUCUCUGGCUUCGAAACUCGGAGCUCAUUUCCUGGCUUUUCUGGAAUUGGCUCACCCCUACAGGGUCACUAGGGUUGUUGCUUCUGAUCAUGGCCUGGUCUGAGGAUUGGGAAAACAGCAAAUGACAGGUUUGGGUCUUGCUCUGUCUCUAGCUAAUUGAGUCAUGACCUUAGCCAGUCACUGCCCCUCUCUGGGCCCCAGUCUCCUCCUUGGACUAGACAAGUGACUUCCCAACUUUCAACAUAUUUCAUGGAAUACCAAUGUUACAUCAAAACACUCUGUGGCCAAAUAAUGAUGAAUGGGGUCCCCCAUCAAAAAAUGAUGAAUGUAGAGCCUCAUUUUUACAUCCUAAAUCUCCCAGAGGGUACUGUAGCCUGCUGUGGUUGGUUGUCAAGCUGGUCUAAUCGGGGCACCCUGUUUUAUAACUUCUCACCAUUGGCACUAUGAAGAAGAUACCCCAGGAUGAGCUAGACAAGAGUCUUUGUAGGGGCAUACUUAGUUCUCUCCUGAAAUUUAAUCUGUAGAAAUAACCAUUGACCGUGACAUCCAAUGACCCUUGCCUCCUGGUAUUUGUGCCCUUUGUCAUCUCCAGUGCAUGCUAGAUUCAUUUCUUUUUCUUUCUUUCAACUGUAUUCUCUGUUUAAUACCUUGUGGAUCUCAGCAGAUACUCUGCUGGGUGAGUCCAUGAAUAUAAAAGAUUUCUGAUAAGGUAGAGCUAAUUGAAUUCUGGCCUCUCCAUCCAACAAGCCACUUGGGAACCCUCUGGUAGCCACUGACUCUGUGCCAGAGUCAUUUCAUUUCAUAAAAAGACAAGGACACACAGGUGCUUAGAGUCAAGGCCAAUGACCUCUGUUAUGUUGGAGAUAAUCUAGGGACCAAUGAUUCAUUUAUAAUAAGUAGAAUUCUACAGAAGUGAGGAUGUCGUCUCCCAAGAUUAGGUUAAAGACUAUGGCUUCUAUCCUUCCAGCAUUCUUGGGCUCACCUUCCCAUGUCACCCGCUGCUAUGCUAUGAGGACACUCAGGAAGCCUAUGGCUGGCAUCCCUAUGAGUGAGCUCCAGCCCCACUCUAGCCUUGAGAGCACUGUAUUCCCAGCCACCAGUUUGAUUGAAACAUCAAAAGAAACCCUGAGCCAGAGGUGCCACCUCAGCUGUACCCAGAUUCCUGACCCACGGAAAUUGAGAAAAAUUUUUUCCCCUUUUUGUCCCAGGGAUUGAACCCAGGGGGCACUUAACCAUCGAGCUAUGUUCCCAGCCCUUUCUUUUUAUUUUAUUUAAAGACAAGGUCUAGCAGAGUUGCUUAGGGCCUUACCAAGUUGCUGAGGCUGGCUUUGAACUCCUCCUGCCUCAGCUUCCUGAGCCCCUGGGAUCACAGGCCUUCUUCACCAUGCCUGGCUGUUUGUUGUUUUAAACUGCUAAGUUUGGGAGAUAAUUUGUCAUACAGCAAUGGAAAGCUAAUAAAAUUGUACAGUACCUUCUACAA